RNAcentral lists this ribosomal RNA (499 nucleotides) under uncultured bacterium. Its description in RNAcentral is "partial 16S ribosomal RNA". It matches the Rfam family "Bacterial small subunit ribosomal RNA", at positions 29 to 523 of the family's 1533-position model. The record is from RNAcentral.
AUUGAACGCUGGCGGAGUGCUUUACACAUGCAAGUCGAACGGCAGCACGGACUUCGGUCUGGUGGCGAGUGGCGAACGGGUGAGUAAUACAUCGGAACGUGCCCAGUCGUGGGGGAUAACGUAGCGAAAGCUACGCUAAUACCGCAUACGAUCUAAGGAUGAAAGCGGGGGAUCGCAAGACCCCGCGCGAUUGGAGCGGCCGAUGGCAGAUUAGGUAGUUGGUGGGGUAAGGCUCACCAAGCCGACGAUCUGUAGCUGGUCUGAGAGGACGACCAGCCGCACUGGGACUGAGACACGGCCCAGACUCCUACGGGAGGCAGCAGUGGGGAAUUUUGGACAAGGGGCGCAAGCCUGAUCCAGCCAUUCCGCGUGCAGGAUGAAGGCCCUCGGGUUGUAAACUGCUUUUGUACGGAACGAAAAGGCUCUGGUUAAUACCUGGGGCUCAUGACGGUACCGUAAGAAUAAGCACCGGCUAACUACGUGCCAGCCGCCGCAGUAA